RNAcentral lists this long non-coding RNA (676 nucleotides) under Mus musculus (house mouse). RNAcentral describes it as "long non-coding RNA chr2:119006766-119007442". The record is from RNAcentral. Lineage: Eukaryota; Metazoa; Chordata; Mammalia; Rodentia; Muridae.
GCCAUCUGCUCUGUCCCUGACUGACACAAGAACAGUACCACCAACAAGGUGUGUCUUUGCCCAUGUGGUGGUGGUAACGGUGGGAGACGUAACAUGGAUGACAAAUGAUCUUGUAAAAGGAGAAAUAAUUGUAUGUUAUUUUAUCUGUGCACGUGAAUACUUUGGGAUGCUCUUCUAGAAUCCUGUUGGUCUGCUCCACCGUACUGUUUUCCAGCCUUAUCCUCCAUCUUCCUCCAUCCUAUGACUCCGUCAGACACCAGGAAAAGACCUCGCCAUUCUGCUGACUCACCGGUGAUCCCAGGACAGGCAGAGGCUGCCAUGCUCCCCUCCUGCCCCCAUCUGCCCUUCCACUCAGUUGCCAAGUCUGUGGAAGAAAUGCUUUCCAUUGUCACUUGUCAGCCUCACUGCCACAUCCUCGGUCACUAUCUCUUGAAACAUCUCUUCUGCCUCACUCUUUCUUCAUCUUCUGGGGCCCAUGCUAAACAUAGCUUGGAUGCUGCUGUCCCUCGGAACAGCUCUUGGUACCUUGGUCGUUUGCUUUCCCCCACUCUUCCCAUUUUCUCUUUGUGUUUCGGUUCAGAUGGUUUUUAAUUUACCUGUGUUCAAGUUCAGUGGCCCUUUCCUCAGGCCUGCCUCACUGCUGAGAACCCGGCUGGAGCGUUUUACCGCAGACAGC